GCCUCGGUGGUGUAGUGGUCAAGACGCUCGCCUGGUAAACAGGAGGGCGUGGGUGCGAUCCCAAUCGAGGCA
RNAcentral lists this transfer RNA (72 nucleotides) under Diaphorina citri (Asian citrus psyllid). It matches the Rfam family "tRNA". From Rfam's summary of the family: Transfer RNA (tRNA) molecules are approximately 80 nucleotides in length. Their secondary structure includes four short double-helical elements and three loops (D, anti-codon, and T loops). The record is from Rfam by way of RNAcentral. Lineage: Eukaryota; Metazoa; Arthropoda; Insecta; Hemiptera; Psyllidae.